Molecule: long non-coding RNA, 1162 nt
Organism: Dama dama (fallow deer)
Lineage: Eukaryota; Metazoa; Chordata; Mammalia; Artiodactyla; Cervidae
Exons: 3
Source: RefSeq, a predicted model, not a curated record
GGAAAGAUCCUGUUGGGCUCUGAUGCCAUCUGGGUGAUUGUGCAGAAAAGGAAAGAGCUGCCUUGCUUGUCAGAGGCAGCUUCUUAACCCUCCGACCAUCACGGAAGUUCCAAGCUGAGUCCUGAAGGUCAAGCAGGAGCUGGCGGGUGAAGAAUAUAUGCAGAUGACACCACCCUUAUGGCAGAAAGCAAAGAAGAACCAAAGAGCCUCUUGAUGAAGGUGAAAGAGAAGGGCUUAAAACUCAACAUUCAGAAAAUGAGGAUCUUGGCAUCCGGUCCCAUCACUUCAUUGCAAAUAGAUGGGGAAACAAUGUAAACAGUAACAGACUUUAUUUUCUUGGGCUCCAAAAUCACUGCAGAUGGUGAGUGCAGCCAUGAAAUUAAAAGACACUUGCUCCUUGGAAGGAAAGUUAUGACCAACCUAGACAGUGUAUUAAAAAACAGAGAUAUUGCUUUGCCUACAAAGGUCCUUAUAGUCUAAGCUAUGGUUUUUCUAGUAGUCAUGUAUGGAUGUGAGCAUUGGAUCAAAAAGAAGGCUGAGUGCCGAAGAAUUGAUGCCUUCAAGCUGUGGUGCUGGAGAAAACUCUUGAGAGUCCCUUGCACAGCUAAGAAAUCAAACCAGUCAAUCCUAAAGGAAAUCAACCCUGAAUACUCAUAAGAAGGACUGAUGCCAAAGCUGAAGCUCUAAUACUUUGCCCACCUGAUGCCAAGAGCCAACUCACUGGAAAAGAUCCCUGAUGCUGGGAAAGGUUGAGGCAGGAGGAGAAGGGGAUGACAGAGGAUGAGAUGGUUGGAUGGCAUCACCGAUUCAAUGGACAUGAGUUUGAGUAAACUCUGGGAGUUGGUGAUGGACAGGGAGGCCUGGCGUGCUGCAGUCCAUGGGGUCGCAAAGAGUCGGACACGACUGAGUGACUAAGCACAGCACAGCAUAGUUGAUUCACAAUGUUCUGUUGGUUUCAGCUGUAGAGCAAAGUGAUUCAGUUAUAUAUAUAUCUCCAUUCUUUUUCACACUUUCCUUGAGGAGACGUAUCCCAGAAAUCACAUGCAUACAACUUAGUAUUAAAUCAUUUGUAACCAGGCACUCUAAACCUAUACAUAGAAAUAAUGCAUAUAUGUAUGUUUCUAUAAUUUAUUUCUACUAACUAGAUAUUGAGAGUCCUAUU